AAGUCGUAACAAGGUUUCCGUAGGUGAACCUGCGGAAGGAUCAUUACUGAACUGUCAACACGAGUUGUUGCUGGUCCUCAAAUGGGGGCAUGUGCACACUCUGUUUACACAUCCACUCACACCUGUGCACCCUCUGUAGUUCUGUGGCAUGGGGGACUCUGUCCUCCUGUUGUGGCUCUACAUCUUUACACACACUCUGUAACAAAGUCUCAUGGAAUGUAUGUCGCGUUUAACGCAAUACAAUACAACUUUCAGCAACGGAUCUCUUGGCUCUCGCAUCGAUGAAGAACGCAGCGAAAUGCGAUAAGUAAUGUGAAUUGCAGAAUUCAGUGAAUCAUCGAAUCUUUGAACGCACCUUGCGCCCUUUGGCUAUUCCGAAGGGCAUGCCUGUUUGAGUAUCAUGAACACCUCAACUCUCGUGGUUUGCUACGAUGAGCUUGGACUUUGGGGGUUUUGCUGGCCUGCGGUCGGCUCCUCUCAAAUGAAUCAGCUUCCCAGUGUUUGGUGGAGUCGCAGGUGUGAUAACUAUCUACGCUUGUGGCUUUUCACCAGAUAACCUUCGGUGACGGAGGUUUGCUGGGGCUCAUAAAUGUCUUUCCUCAGUGAAGACAGCCUUUUGAACGUUGUCUC
RNAcentral lists this ribosomal RNA (630 nucleotides) under uncultured Tomentella. RNAcentral describes it as "eukaryotic LSU rRNA". The stretch from base 247 to 401 matches the Rfam family "5.8S ribosomal RNA". The record is from RNAcentral. Lineage: Eukaryota; Fungi; Basidiomycota; Agaricomycetes; Thelephorales; Thelephoraceae.